Molecule: long non-coding RNA, 399 nt
Organism: Cataglyphis hispanica
Lineage: Eukaryota; Metazoa; Arthropoda; Insecta; Hymenoptera; Formicidae
Exons: 3
Source: RefSeq, a predicted model, not a curated record
GGGCGAGACCGAUGACUUUGAGUCCCUUCGACAAUAACUCUUCUAAGAUGGCCUUACCGAUUCCGUCAGUGGCGUCGGUGAUGAGAGCAGUCUUGUUCAACAAAGGAUUCAUGUUGAAGAUUUGCGUUGAAUAAUUUUCAGAGAGUGGAGAAGUGAAGUCUCUUCACCCCAAACGAUCAACGAUCCAUUCCAUCGGCGAAUCUUUGCAUAUGAAGUAGCCGGUGUAGUCUGUCAUUAGCCGACGAGAAGAUUUAAAUGAUAUACCAGAACGUGAGGAGGAUUGGAUAGCACGUAAAUCACCGCUGCCGCAACAUCAUCCGGAUCCAAAGUCGGCAUCACCGCUAGUGCUUCUGGUGAGAACAUGCUGUAAGAAGCCAUGAAAUCGGUCGCGACUAAACC